AGUGGUUCUUAUAAAUAUCAUUAUCUACAAAAAAUUCACCACCUCUCCCAGUUUCCACCCCUAAUUAUCUCUCGUCAUUUCGAAUCAAAGAGUCAAACAACCAAAAUAAAUUACUUAAGCAACUAUUCCUCCAAUACAAGCUCCUCCUCGAAGUACACAUCCAAAUUCACUCCUCCCCUUUCUAUCUCACAUCUUAGUCUUGACUACUUUCUUCACAAUUUUCCUCCAAACUUUUACCCUCAUUUUGAUAUAAGAAAGAUAAUUGGCACAAACGCAUCACCAAAUUGUUAUGAACAAUUGUUUCUCCAAUGCUCACAUAUUUGUUUUUCCAAGAAUUCAAUUUUCU
This 346-nucleotide long non-coding RNA is filed under the name Medicago truncatula (barrel medic). RNAcentral's name for it is "long non-coding RNA (MTRU_LNC003118)". The record is from RNAcentral. Lineage: Eukaryota; Viridiplantae; Streptophyta; Magnoliopsida; Fabales; Fabaceae.